Neoarius graeffei (lesser salmon catfish) is the source of this 6189-nucleotide RNA transcript. It is a transcript of the gene named piggyBac transposable element-derived protein 4-like, with no coding region annotated. NCBI's taxonomy places the organism in Eukaryota, Metazoa, Chordata, Actinopteri, Siluriformes, Ariidae. The record is from RefSeq and is a predicted model, not a curated record. The transcript has 5 exons.
CCAUGCCACCUGCAAGUGCAAACUACAUGCCACCCCAAGCCAGCAACAAAGCAUGGCAGGGAGGAAAAGACUAUGGGCUUCCCGCUCCUGCUCCGCGCCCUGCCUCGCCUUGUCUCACACCUGCCCAAGAUGGCCACAGCUCCCCGACGGCUGACCUGGCAAAGUUCAUCGCUAGAAAUCAAAUCGUCUCCACAGGACUGAUCAAGUUUGAUGAUAAGGCAGAGAAUUACUGGGCGUGGAAAGCUUCAUUCUACAAUGCCAUAGACAAUAUAGGCCUGACAGUAGCAGAAGAGACUGACCUCCUCAUCAAAUGGCUCGGCAAAGAGUCGCCUGAGCAAGCACAUAGGCUCAGAGCAGCAUACAUCAGAAAUCCCCAGGGUGGCCUUGAUGACAUCUGGCGGCGCAUGGAAGAGUGCUACGGCACCCCUGAAGCCAUCGAAGGGGCGCUGUUCGCCAGACUAGAAAGCUUCCCAAAAAUAUCAAGCAAAGAGCCAGCCAAGCUACGUGACUUAGCCGACUUAUUACAAGAACUGUAUGCCGCAAAGCAGGAUGUAUUUCUUCCAGGACUAGCUUACUUAGACACUGCUAGGGGAGUAGCCCCAAUCGUAGAAAAGCUCCUGUACAGCCUACAGGAGAAGUGGAUGUUCUACGGUUCUCAGAUAAAGCGUGAGCACCAGAUCUUCUUCCCUCCAUUCAGUGUGUUUGUCAAUUUCAUUCAGAGCCAAGCCAAGGCAAGAAAUGAUCCCAGUUUCAGAGUCACAAUGCCUCCUCAACCUGCCACAAACAGAGACAAGCGCAAAAGCUUCCAGAGCAAAGUGAAUCAGCCCGUUGCAGUCCACAGGACUCAAGUUGCCAAGUCCAGCCAGAAAGGUGAGCCUGUAACUGACACUUCAGAUCUCACCAAGCAUUGCCCAAUCCACAAAAAGCCCCAUUUAUUAGGAUCAUGUAGGAGCUUUAGAGACAAACUGCUAGCUGACCGUAAACAAUAUCUCAAAGACAAUUCCAUCUGCUAUUGCUGUUGUGCUUCAACCACACACAUUGCAAAGAACUGUGACAAAACCAUAACACGUGCUGAAUGUCAGAGCAACAAGCAUGUCGAAGCCCUCCACCCAGGUCCUUCACCAUGGAAAGCAAAGCCACCCCCACCUGCGUCAGAGGACGGCUGGGAGGGCCGUGAGAACCAGCAGCCUCCAGAGAUUGUCUCCUCUAAGUACACUGAAGUAUGCGGUGAGGGGAUGAGCGCUAGAGGUUGCUCCAAAAUAUGUUUAGUUACUGUCUACCCACAAGGCCAGAGAGAAGCAGCAACUAGAGUAUAUGCAAUCAUCGAUGAGCAAAGUAACAAGUCCCUUGCACGAUCAGAAUUCUUUGAGAUAUUCGGCGACAAAAGCACCCCAUCUUCGUACACUCUCAAGACAUGUGCGGGCAGCAUGGAGACGUUCGGUAGGAGAGUGUGUGGCUACAUGCUGGAGUCACUGGAUGAGAAGACCUGCAUCCCUCUACCAGUCCUCAUUGAAUGCGAUGAACUCCCAGACAAUAGGUCUGAAAUCCCAACACCCAGUGCAGCUUUGCAUCACCCUCACCUGAGAUGCAUAGCCAGUGAGAUUCCCCCCAUAGACUCUAAUGCUCAAAUACUGUUGUUGCUAGGAAGAGACAUUUUGAAAAUACACAAGGUCAGGAAACAAAUCAACGGCCCAGACAAUGCCCCAUUCGCUCAAAAGUUAGACCUCGGCUGGGUGGUGGUCGGUGAUGUGUGCCUCGGCACAGCGCACCGCCCCUCCUCAGUCACUUUCCUCAAGACAUGCGUCCUAGGAAAUGGCCACCCCAGCUACCUCGCACCCUGCCACAGCCAGCUAUGCGUGAAAGACUCUCCACACAGCCACUCAGUCCUUCAAGUUCCUCCACCUCAGCAAGCCGCUGCCCACACUGCUUCUCUGCUCCAUGGGGACGACCUGGAGUCCUCCAUUUUCCACUGUACCGACAAAGACCACCAACCUGCUCCAUCUAUCGAUGACCUCAACUUCCUGAAGAUCAUGGAUAGUGAGGUAUGUCAAGAUAGCACCCAAAGCUGGGUCGCACCCUUACCUUUCCAGGCUCCGAGAAAACAUCUGCCCAACAACAGAGACUAUGCUAUAAAAAGACUUAAGUCAGUUUGCCACACACUAGAGAAAAAUCCUGUCAUGAGGGAACAAUACAUGCAGUUCAUGCAAAAAAUGAUUGACAGUCACCAUGCAGAGAUUGCCCCAGUCCUCCAAGAAGGACAAGAAAGCUGGUAUUUGCCAUCUUUUGGCAUCUACCAUCCCAAGAAACCCAGACAGAUUUGAAUAGUGUUUGAUUCAAGUGCCCAGUAUGAAGGGAUCUCGCUUAACAAUGUCCUGCUCAAAGGCCCAGAUCUGAACAAUGACCUGUUAGGUGUCCUCGUCAGGUUCAGAAGAGAGAAAAUUGCUGUGACUGCAGAUAUUCAACACAUGUUUUACUGCUUUGUAGUCAAGGAGGAGCACAGAGACUACCUGAGGUUUCUGUGGUUCCAUGACAACAACUGGGACAAUGACAUCGCGGACUACAGAAUGCGUGUCCAUGUGUUUGGCAACACACCAUCUCCUGCUGUAGCAAUAUACUGCCUCAGAAGGGCAGCGAGAGAAGCAGAAUCUGAGUUCGGCUCAGAUGUCAGAGCAUUCAUCGAGAGAGACUUUUAUGCUCUGAAGUCGUUUGCAACAGAGUCCGAGGCCAUCAGUGUGGUGAAGCGAGCGCAAGAGAUGCUCUCCCACAACCGCAUUCAGUUGCACAAGAUUACAUCAAACAGCACAGCGGUAAUGGCUGAAUUUCCGCCUGAGGACCGUGCAAGCAGCAUCAAAGACCUGGACUUUGCCACUGAUGACGUCCCCAUGCAGCGUAGCCUGGGUAUCAGCUGGAACAUUGUCACAGACGCAUUCACCUUUCAAGUGCAGAUAGAUGACAAGCCCUUCACACGCAGAGGCGUGCUCUCAACCAUAAACAGCAUCUUCGACCCGCUUGGCUUUCUCUCACCUGUCACCAUACAAGGAAGAUUGCUGCUGAGAGAGCUGACCAUGGGAAAUGGUGAGUGGGACUCUCUGUUACCUGAACACCUCAAAGCAGAGUGGGUGAAAUGGAAGUCCUCCCUACAAUGCCUUCAAGACAUAGACAUCCCCUGCUGCUACACAUCUCUCUCCACCUCUGCAGCAAGCUCGAGAGAGUUGUGUGUGUUUGCGGAUGCUUCAACCAAAGCAAUUGCAGCAGUCGCCUACCUGAAGGUGACCGAUGAAAAUGGACACUCCGAAGUCGGAUUUGUGCUUGGCAAAGCAAAGCUGGCACCAGUGAAAGAGACCACAAUCCCCAGACUCGAACUCUGCGCGGCAGUCCUUGCUGUCGAGAUAGCGGAGACUGUUGGUGCAACGCAUCUGACAAGCAACUUCACCCCAACAGUGGAAGUAUGUCCCCUCAGAGCUCAACCCGGCCGACCAUGGCUCCAGAUCUGUUCCUGCUGCAUCGCUGAGAGAUACCAACUGGCUGACCGGACCUGACUUCCUGUCUGGUAAGCCUCCAGAACAUCACCAGCCUCUGUUCCAUCUUGUUGACCCAGAGUCAGACUCUGAAAUCAGACCUCAGACCACAGUAUUAAUCACUGAAACCACACAACGCAGCUUAGGAACUGAGCGCUUCAAGCGUUUCUCAAAGUGGACUUCUGUACUGAGAGCACUUGCGCUCUUGAUUCACAUUGCUCAGUGUUUCAGGCAAACGAACAAAGACAACACAUGCAGAGGGUGUCAUACCUGUAAGAAAGCAAUCACACCAGAGAACCUGGAAAAGGCAAAAAACAUACUGAUCAAGAACAUGCAACAGGAAAGAUAUCCUACUGAAUUCAGCAACAUACAGAGUAAGACAGACAUUCCAAAACACAGCCACAUUGCAAAGCUGCGCCCACUGAUUGACAGCUGUGGACUUCUCAGAGUUGGCGGACACAUUACACAGUCCGGCCUUGAGGUGAACCGUACCAAUCCCCUCAUCAUCCCAGCUCAGCACCACCUUACGACUCUCCUUGUGCGCCACUACCAUGAGCAGGUAAAACACCAGGGCAGACACUUCACAGAGGGAGCCAUCAGGGACGCUGGGCUGUGGCUGGUGGGUGCGAAGAAAUGCAUUAGAGGCACACUAUUCCGGUGUGUCACCUGCAGGAGAUUGCGUGGCAAGAUAGAACAUCAGCUGAUGGCAGAUCUGCCCGCAGACAGGCUUCAAGCCGCCCCACCUUUCACGUACGUCGGCCUGGACGUGUUUGGGCCAUGGGAGGUCGUCUGCCGUCGGACGAGAGUGUUUCCAGUCAGGAACACAAAUACUGCGGACCACUGUUGACCACUGUUGACCUGUUGAUUGUGAAGACUCAGAACUUCAAAACUCCAAAAUUACAUUGUCAUGGCUCAUCGUCAUCCCAAGUUCACAACUGAAAUGGUGGCAGCGAUGGUCAGCAAUGACAGUGAUGAAGAGGGUGCACUAGGGGGUCCUGAAUCAGAGUCUGACGUAUCAGAAGAAGGGGACCCAGAUUAUGUGCCAGGAGAAAUGACUUCUGAUGACUCCGAUUCAGAAGGCUCAUCAGAUACAGAGCCAGAGGAGCAGAUCCAGAGAGAGAAAGAGAGAGUAAGACUGGAUCAUACUGGAGCGAACAUCCUCCCCCUCACAGCAAAACAAAAACGCAUAACAUCCUGCGCUGCUGCCCCGGACCUGCCCCUGGAUCAAUGGCUGUGUCACCUAAGGAUGCCUGGAUGAAGUUCAUCAGUGACAACAUCAUGACUGAGAUCAUCAAGUGCACCAAUCAUGAGGGAAGAAGAGUUGCAGCAGAGAGGGGAAAAGAGUGGAAAGCCAUCGAUGAAAUCGAAUUAAACGCUUUCAUUGGGUUGUCACUGCUUGCAGGAGGAGAGAAAAGUUGGGAUGUGGAUUUGAGAGAGCUGUUUCUGGAUCCCCUGCAGAAUCCAAUGUAUAAGGCCACUAUGGGGCUCACAAGGUUUGAAGAGAUUCGAAAAUUUCUCCGCUUUGAUGACAAGAGGACCAGAGCUUUGCGUCUGGAAACUGACCAUUUGGCCGCCUUUAGGUAUGUCUGGGAGUGUUUCCUGGUGAACUGCAGAGAACAGUUCAUCUCCAGUGAUUGUGUCACCAUUGAUGAGCAGCUGGUGCCCUUCCGGGGAAGAUGCAGGUUCCUGCAGUACAUGCCCAACAAGCCUGCAAAGUAUGGCAUUAAAAUAUUCUGGAUGUGUGAUGCGCGGGUGCCUUAUGCAAUAAAUGGCACAGUCUACACUGGGAAACAGCCAGGAGAGAAGACACAGAAGAACCUUGGUGAGAAAGUUGUCCAACAGCUGUGCAGUGUCAUCAGACAAACAGGUCGCAAUAUCACCAUGGACAACUUCUUUACAAGCGUUCCCCUGGCUCAGAGCCUACUUGAGAAGAAUCUCACCCUUGUGGGGACACUGAGGCAGAACAAGGCAGACAUACCGCCAAUUAUGAAGCCAUCCAACUCCAGGGAGCGCUACAGUUCCACAUUUGGUUUCUGUGGGGACAUGACCAUGGUGAGUUACGUCCCCAAGAAGAAAAAAGCUGUCAUUCUUCUCAGCACCAUGCACGACGACACAGCAGUGGAUGAAAGUAUGAAAAAAAAGCCAGAGGUCAUACAGUAUUAUAAUAAAACCAAAGGAGGCGUGGAUCUCAUGGACCAAAUGGUCCAAACAUAUACAUCAAAGCGGCGAACAAGGAGGUGGCCUAUGGUGCUCUGGCAAAAUGUGGUCGAUGUUGCUGCUCUAAAUGCAUUCACUGUUUUUACAGCACAUCACCCUGAUUAUAUGGGUGGUGUGUCAAAUACCCGGCGCCUCUUCAUCAAGGAAUUGGCUCAAGAGCUAAUCAUGCCUCAGAUGAGGAGGCGACUGGAGACCAGUCUCCAUCUGCAGAAACACGUCAUUCAGGCAAUGGAGAUGUGUGGCUUACAGAGGCAGUUCAUCCAGCCACAGGAGCCAAACCGUGUCGUGCAGAGUAAGAGAAAGAGGUGCAGCCUGUGUCCCUCUGCGCGAGACAAAAAAGUGUCUCACUCAUGCUCCCGCUGUGCACGGCCCGUGUGCAAAGAACACAAAUUCACUCAGGUGAUUUGUGAAAUGUGCAAGAACUGAAAUGUAUGUAAAAAAUUCAGAAUUCAUU